UCACUUCUUCUUCUUCCUUCUUCUUCUAAACCCUUAAACCAAAAAUAAACCAAUCUCUUUAGUUCGUUCUCUUAUCGAAGCACAAAGUCGAUCCCUCUUCUCCUUCGAUUCUCUGAUUUAUCGUCGCUGAAAAAGGUUCUAUCUUCAGCUUUCUUCUCCUCGAUUUGUUGUUGCGAGAUUCGGCUUCGAUGAUCGAGAGAUACAAAACAGGGCGAUCAAACGGUGAUGAGUUUGGGUAAACGGUGGUGAUCGAGGCUUUUGACUCCUCUUCUUCUGGUUCCUCGUGGCGGUGCUCUUGCUUCUUCUUCUUCUUCUUCCCUUCAAGGGGUUUAUUAAUUGGAUUAAACAUAUCGAUUCUUCCAAGAACGCCAUUGGACUAAAGCUUACAAUUUUCAGUUCCUGAAAUCAGAGCAACGGAUCAUUCAAGGUAGAGAGCCUAUGUGUAACUCCAACUAUGUCUGUCAAGAAAAGGGUGAUUCCUCUAAGUUACGUUUUGGCCAACUCAAGGAACUGUUCUGAAGCGGGUAGACUUUGCUACAGUAUCUUGGUGGGGAGGUUGAAACUUACCAAUGUAUUCGAUUCUGGAGAAUGCUCCAUUUUAUAAUAUGGGAUAUGCUCAUUCAAUAGGUAUGAACUUUGUGUUAAUUGGGUUUUCAAGGAAAGAUCUCCAUUUUGUGAAAACUGCAGGCAUAUGCUCAAUUUGUGGACCUAUUAGCUUGAACUUUCUACAAACCAAAGACUUCUUCUGUGGAGUUUGGAGCUAAUGAGGCUGGUUUAGUUUUCUCGGAAUGACUAUGUUCCUGAUGGUAUAACGAAAGUGAGACUGCCCAGAUUUUAUAAAUACCCCAUGCUCAUAUUCAUCAAGCUGAAAAAUGCAUGGUCUCGAGGUCAUUGAUGUUCUCUAGCUAUUACCAUGAAGAUUUGAUCGAGGACUUCCUCACAAUUUUCCAAGGAUCAUGUAACAUCAUCAUUACUACAUUUAUAACCGAGAUAUAUGUAUUCUUUCAAUAACCAAAGUGUGCACACUCUCAAUGAGAAGAUUUGUGGUAUGCUCUCUUUGCUUCUGGUUCUGUUUUUAGUGUACUUGAGCUUCGUUACAAAUUGAAAAACUGAAUGUUUUGCUGUGUUGUCCAUUUCAUUAUAGCUGGUUAUAUGAGUUUGAGUUUAGUUCUCUUAGAUAAGGGUAUUGUAGUUUAUGUGCUGUGGAAUGCAUUAUGCAUUUGCAGUUUUAUGUGUUUGAUACCGGAAGCAUCUUGGCAGGAAGCCAUCAAUGUUGCUGCAAAAGACUGGGGUCUUCAGUGCCUUCGUUAUGAGAUCAGUGAGUUAAUUUUUUGUUGAGUCUUUGCUGGUGUUUGCUGGAUCUAAUACAUGUAUAUCCAGGGGAUAUCAUGCCUCCUAAUGGAGUAAGAGUUGCUAUGGAAAUGCAAGCUGAAGCUGUAGAAAGAGAGCCCAGAUUCUCGAGUCUGCAGGAGAACGUCAAGCCCAUAUCAACAGAGCUGAUGGUAAGAAAAGUUCUGUAAUCUUGGAAUCAGAAGCUGCACAGAUGGACCAAGUCAAACGAACUCAAGGUGAGGCCCAAGCAAAUAUUAGCUAAAGCAAAAGCAACUGGUGCAAUGGAGCUAAAUUCGGGAACGGCCACUGUCUGAGCCGCCUCAGGAUACUUGAGAUAUGGGAGAUAUCACAGCCUUGAAGGUUUACGAAUUGGGGGAUCUUAUUGCUUGAUAAAAACUUAGAUUCCUCCGCAAACCAAAUAUGCGGUGAGCAGUACUUGCAAAGUGAAUAGUUGCUCUCCUUUGGUCUCCGGACCAUAGUUGCUCAAAUAGGAACACUUGUCCGCGUUAUUCGAAUGUGAAGUUCACCGUCAUUUAAUUAGUCUGUGCAACUAUGCGUUCGUCCGUUAUGCUGUAUCCAUUUUCAGCUUGGUUAUACCAAACUAAAGUUCGAAUCGAAUCGCGCAUAUCUUCCGUUUUCAGCUUGGUUAAUGGGCCUUCAGCAAAAGACCCUUCCUGCCAUAAGUGUAAGGUUGGAUUGUUAUCUACCAACAAAAUUUGCUAGUUACUAUAUUGGAAUGACAAUUUCAAAUCUCAAUUUUGUGAUAUUGCUCUAACCGGUUACAAGUACUAAAAGACUUAGGUGAUUAGAUUGAAGAAGGACAAUACCAAACUGUGCAGCCUCUAAUCCUUGUAACUUGCAAGUUAUAGAAAGGUGUGAUCAGAUCUAAGUUACGAUUGCAGCUUUAACCACCCGUUAGGAGAAGAACCAAGCAAGAAUCAUGGGCAUAGUAAAAGAUUUUGCAUUUUCUAAUAUCAGUCACAAGUUUUUCUCUCUUUUACCAAUUCAAGACUCAAGCAAUACAUCAAUACUAUUUAGAAAGGAUUUUCAAAAAAAUUAUUAUUCUAUUAUUUUAUCGAAAUAUGUCUAAAAUUACACUAAUCCCAACUUGA
Molecule: long non-coding RNA, 2444 nt
Organism: Capsella rubella
Lineage: Eukaryota; Viridiplantae; Streptophyta; Magnoliopsida; Brassicales; Brassicaceae
Exons: 11
Source: RefSeq, a predicted model, not a curated record